This 829-nucleotide ribosomal RNA is filed under the name Laccaria roseoalbescens. Its description in RNAcentral is "eukaryotic LSU rRNA". It matches the Rfam family "Eukaryotic large subunit ribosomal RNA", at positions 51 to 863 of the family's 3401-position model. The record is from RNAcentral. Lineage: Eukaryota; Fungi; Basidiomycota; Agaricomycetes; Agaricales; Hydnangiaceae.
CGGAGGAAAAGAAACUAACAAGGAUUCCCCUAGUAACUGCGAGUGAAGCGGGAAAAGCUCAAAUUUAAAAUCUGGCAGUCUUUGGCUGUCCGAGUUGUAAUCUAGAGAAGUAUUAUCCGCGCUGGACCGUGUACAAGUCUCCUGGAAUGGAGCGUCAUAGAGGGUGAGAAUCCCGUCUUUGACACGGACUGCCAGGGCUUUGUGAUGUGCUCUCAAAGAGUCGAGUUGUUUGGGAAUGCAGCUCAAAAUGGGUGGUAAAUUCCAUCUAAAGCUAAAUAUUGGCGAGAGACCGAUAGCGAACAAGUACCGUGAGGGAAAGAUGAAAAGAACUUUGGAAAGAGAGUUAAACAGUACGUGAAAUUGCUGAAAGGGAAACGCUUGAAGUCAGUCAUGUUGGCCAGGGAUCAACCUUGCUUUUCUGCUGGGCUUACUUUCUGGUCAAUGGGUCAGCAUCAAUUUUGGCUGGUGGAAAAAGUUCAAGGGAAUGUGGCAUCUUCGGAUGUGUUAUAGCCUUUGUUCACAUACACUGGUUGGGAUUGAGGAACUCAGCAUGCCGCAAGGCCGGGUUUUUAACCACGUACAUGCUUAGGAUGCUGGCAUAAUGGCUUUAAUCGACCCGUCUUGAAACACGGACCAAGGAGUCUAACAUGCCUGCAAGUGUUUGGGUGAAAAACCCGAGUGCGUAAUGAAAGUGAAAAGUUGAGAUCCCUGUCGUGGGGAGCAUUGACGCCCGGAUCUGACCUUUUGUGACGAUUCUGCGGUAGAGCAUGCAUGUUGGGACCCGAAAGAUGGUGAACUAUGCCUGAAUAGGGUGAAGCCAGAGGAAACU